This 263-nucleotide unclassified non-coding RNA is filed under the name plant metagenome. Its description in RNAcentral is "partial contains small subunit ribosomal RNA, internal transcribed spacer 1, and 5.8S ribosomal RNA". The record is from RNAcentral.
UCUCCGUUGGUGAACCAGCGGAAGGAUCAUUAUUGUAUAACCGAGGUGCGAGGGCUGUCGCUGACCCGAAAGGUCGUGCACGCCCGAGUGCCCUCACACACAUCCAUCUCACCCCUAUGUGCACCACCGCGUGGGUCCCCCUUUGGCUUGUUCGGAGGGGGGCUUACGUUUUCACACAAACUUUGUAUGCAGUGUAGAAUGUAUUUUUUGUUUUUGCGAUCACGCAAUCAAUACAACUUUCAACAACGGAUCUCUUGGCUCUC